This 458-nucleotide ribosomal RNA is filed under the name uncultured bacterium. Its description in RNAcentral is "bacterial SSU rRNA". It matches the Rfam family "Bacterial small subunit ribosomal RNA", at positions 28 to 501 of the family's 1533-position model. The record is from RNAcentral.
GACGAACGCUGGCGGCGUGCUUAACACAUGCAAGUCGAACGGUGAACCAGAGCUUGCUCUGGGGAUCAGUGGCGAACGGGUGAGUAACACGUGGGCAACCUGCCCAGACUCUGGGAUAACCUCGGGAAACCGAUGCUAAUACCGGAUACGACCACUUCGGACAUCCGACGGUGGUGGAAAGUUUUUCGGUCUGGGAUGGGCCCGCGGCCUAUCAGCUAGUUGGUGGGGUAAUGGCCUACCAAGGCGACGACGGGUAGCCGGCCUGAGAGGGCGACCGGCCACACUGGAACUGAGACACGGUCCAGACUCCUACGGGAGGCAGCAGUGGGGAAUAUUGCACAAUGGGCGAAAGCCUGAUGCAGCGACGCCGCGUGAGGGACGACGGCCUCGGUUGUAACCGUACUUCUAGCAGGGACGAAGCGAAGUGACUGUACCUGCAGAAGAAGACACCGGCUAAC